RNAcentral lists this long non-coding RNA (8562 nucleotides) under Triticum aestivum (bread wheat). RNAcentral's name for it is "long non-coding RNA (TAES_LNC023673)". Lineage: Eukaryota; Viridiplantae; Streptophyta; Magnoliopsida; Poales; Poaceae. The record is from RNAcentral.
UUUGUGGCUAGGUCUCAUUAUGCCCAUGAGGGAGUUGCUGUAUAAGCCGACCCCCCUUUUGUUGUGUCUAGCCUUCGAGAUUAUUUCGCCUCUCUUGGGGUGCCCCGCCCCUCCUUAUUUAAGUUGAAGGGGCGGGUUACAUGACUAGUCCUAGUAGGAUUAGGAUUAGGAUUACAAGUGGAGUCCUAUUCUUGCUUCCUUUGUAAGGGAAUAUUCCUUAUGCUUUCCUCUUAAGCCGACCCAUCAUAACAUGAGCCGGCCUUCUGGGCCUUGGGCCUAGUCCUCUAUCUCACCCGCCGUCGGGGCCAUCAGUGAGUCACCAGGCUCGUGAGUCGUCAGACUAGUGAACCACCAGACUCGUGAGUCGCCAAUCCUCCGGCGGGUUACCAAUGAAACGCCAAGUCCCAGCCGGGUCAUACCGCGGGGUAUAUCCCCGACAAUGGUGAUGCAGUUUUGGUAUUUUGCUGCAACUGUAUGGACAAGGGGAUCCUCAAUGCUCUCAACUGACACCGCAUACCGCACUUUGCAGAUUUGGCACACAUAGUAUAGAAGUAUUACGCAAUGGAAAGCGCCUGGAAAGCCCAGAUAGCCCGGUGGGACACGCCCGCCUUCAAGCCUCCCACCGGACGGGCAAAAAGGAUGCACCCUCGUGGGGCACCUAAUCUUCCUCCCAUGGGCAAGAAAAUCAAUCCCUUAGUGGGACAUAUAAUUGUCUUUAAGGAAUGGCUCGACAAGCCUUGUCAGAUACACACAACGCCAAAUACCGAACCAACACACAGCCUUCGGGCGUGUUGGAUACUCUGGCAGGUGGCUAAGAGCGGUGAGGCUAUCCUCACCAACACUACCCCAGAGAAGCCCUCUUCAGAGGAUGACGAUCUCAACGUAUUUACGGUCUUCGAGACCUUUUCUUCAAAUAAUCGGUGCAUAAGGGCGCUCCACGACCUCGCCGAAGUUAAACCAAGUAGUCGCAGGAAAUCCUUGGAAUGAUACAACGAUAACUUUCACCGCCAACGAAGAACCAAGGGCUCGAUCAUUCCGCGCACUAGCCUCUUUGGUCCUAAAUCCAAUCGUCAACGGCUUUCGGCUCGCUAAAGUACUCAUGGAUGGUGGCAGCGGACCGAACCAAAUCUACAAGGACACGCUUGAUAAAAUACAAAUAGACAAGAGCCGCAUCGAGCAGAGCAGUACAACCUUUUGAGGCAUUAUCCCUAGUCGCGAAGCGCGAUGUUCGGGGAAAGUUAAACUUUAUGUGGUAUUCGGCACACCGGAGAACUACAGGUCCAAAGAGUUAAUCUUCCAUGUGGCACCUUUCAACAGCGGAUAUCAUGCCCUGUUGGGGCGAGACGCAUUCACACGCUUUCAACCCAUACCCCAUUACGGGUAUAUGAAGCUCAAAAUCCCCGGGCCCAACGGAGUUAUCACUAUCACCAGUGAUCCGGACAUAGCACUCCGCGCCGAAAACAAAACCACAUCCCUGGCCCUCGAGGCACUAUCCGAGGCCCUUGUGGCCGAGGAGCUCACCGCCCUGCAUUCCACAGUGGAUAGAGAUGACAUAAUCCUUGAUAAAAGGCCUAAGUCCACUUCUUUCAAACCAGCAGGCGAAAUAGUCAAAUUCCAAGUCCACCCGACGAAUCCUAAUAAAAUAUCCACCAUUGGAGCACAGCUAAAUUGGACGGUCGACGCUGCUCUAAGAGCAUUCCUGCAUGAAAAUUGGGACAUUUUUGCCUGGCAUCCUUCAGAUAUGCCAGGAAUCCCACGCAGACUGGCCGAACAUAGUUUCAACAUAAUAAAGGGGUUCAAGCCAAUUAAGCAAACGCUACGGUGAUUUUCCGAACCCAAGCGACAAGCUAUGGGGGAGGAGCUAGCCAAACUACUUGAAGCCGGGUUCAUUAGAGAGAUAAAACACCCGGAUUGGCUAGCAAACCUGGUCAUGGUACCAAAGAAAGACAAAUCCUGGCGCCUUUGUGUCGAUUUCAAAGACCUCAAUAAGGCCUACCCCAAGGACCCCAUCCCACUGCCCGCAUUGACCAAAUCAUCGAUGCAACUGCAGGACAUGAUUCACUGUGUUUCCUCGAGGCAUACUCCGGAUACCAUCAGAUUAAGAUGAAGGAAUCCUUUCAGGCCGAAACAUCAUUCAUCACUCCGUACGGGCCUAUCUACUUUAACACUAUGCCUUUUGGACUCAAAAACGCCGGCGCCACUUACCAACGCAUGAUUCAAACAUGCCUGGAAAAACAAAUUGGCAAGACGGUGGAGGCAUAUGUCGAUGAUGUAGUCAUCAAAACUAAACAUGUCGAAUCAUUGGUGGACGACUUAUGUCUUACAUUUGAUAACCUUCGAACAUAUGACAUAUGGCUUAAUCCGGAAAAAUGCGUUUUCGGCGUUCUGGCCGGAAGGCUGCUCGGGUUCAUUGUUUCCAAUAAAGGAAUCGAAGCAAAUCCGACCAAAAUCCGAGCCUUGUCACAGUUGGCAAUACCAACAGACCUAAAGCAAGUCCAAAAAUUAGCAGGGUGCGUAGCAGCCUUGAUCCGCUUUAUCUCCAGAUUGGGAGAGAAGGCAUUGCCACUAUAUCGCCUGCUUCGACAUACGGACCACUCUGAGUGGACAGACGCGGCAAUAGCCAGGUUGGAGGAAAUAAAAACUCUGCUAGCAAACAACCCAAUUCUUGCCGCACCGAACAUUGGCGAACCUAUGCUACUGUACAUAUCUGCAACUCACCAGGUGGUGAGCGCAGUACUCAUCAUUGAACGAGAGGAAGAGUGACAUAAAUUCCCACUCCAAAACCCGUAUACUAUUGUCGGUGUUCUGGGAACGGGGGUCCCCAGACUUUCCUGCCUGCGGCCCAUGGCGUGGCUAAGCAGCGGGCCGUACGACCCAUCUUCAUCAACAAGGCAUCCAAGACAUUCGCAAGGGCCCGAGCCUCGCGAGGCGGAUGACACAAGGCCUCCUCUGGAGUGGCCUAGCCAGGCAGGCUCAUGAGGAGCAGAGAUAUCAAGGCGGGGCAAACCUCACGAGGGACUCAUGGCGUGAGCCAUGACGAACAGCGCCAGGUGGGCGCCAGGCGAGCGCCGGUGCGUGCAGAGUCCUUGUUUCCUCUUUGGUGCUAAGGAGGCAAGCGCAUGCGAAGAGUACCGAGGCAUCAGGCAAAGGUUGCCAUAUUAGUGCAACAAGACCAAGACCAGGAGGACCGCAAGGCGGAGGUCAUCAUGGAGCCCAAGACGGCGUCAUCCCAGGGCUUUUCGCAGGCGAAGACCGCUUUUGUCUGGAUAGCUUGUACUAGCUGCCCCCCUUCAAAUUUUCCCGCCGUUGUUGGCUCCCUUCCCUCUCAACAUUUGGGAAGAGGACCAGGGCCUCUAUAAAUAGGACUAGCCACCACAGUAGUAGGAAAACUUGAACAGAGCGAGAAGCCAACACUCGCACAAGAACACCUCAACCUCAGGAGGCUGUUCUUCCCUUGUACUAUUCAUCAUCAGCCCAAGAGGCAAUCCACCACCACCACACUGAAGUAGGGUAUUACACCACAUCGGUGGCCCGAACCAGUAUAAACCUCGUGUCUCUUUCUGUGUUGUGAGUUCGUCGAGUUCGUCCGCAAGAUCCUAGCGAGCUUGAGCGUAGAUCGGUAGGAGGGAAAGACUUCGCGUGCACCCCAGUGUUCGAACCUUAAGGGUUUGCCGGAACCCCACAUCCGACAUUUGGUGCACUAGGUAGGGGUGUGCUGUGGUUUCCCUUCCAUCGGUUCGUUGCUCCGCCGCUCCGUCGUCUCCAUGGCGGACGCUCGCCGUGCUCGAGCUGAGCAUCGGGCCGCCCUCUCCGCCUGUGUCGCUCAGACGGCUCCUGUGGGGGGGCCACCUCGUCGCUCUCCGUCUCCCAUCGCCAACGCUGCCACCGGCCUGGCGGGGAAUGAGCAGCAGGCGUCCUUGCUGCAUCCCUCGGUGCGGCAGGACGGCCGCACCGCUACUCCAUCGCUCACCCCUGCUGGUUCUUCGUCCCGCACGCAUAGCGCUCCCAUGGAGGCACGAGUUGCGCUCAUCGCGGCGAAUGAGCUCCUGCGCUACUUCCCUGUCGACGAAGUCUACGAGGAGUGGCUCGACCGCGUCGCCGAGCUCGUCCGCGCCGCAGAGGGCUCUCCAGCGCCGUCCAAUUCUCUGCCUCCCCCUCAACCAGCCGCGGGCUACGGGGCUCAUGGCGUGCCUCCACCACCUCACCCCCAAGACGGUGCCUUGGCACCGAGGCGCGCACCUCCACGGCGUGAUCCACCGCCCCCGGUGCACGCGCGCAAAGAAAGAAGCUGGCAAGAAAUCCCGCGGCCGCGAGAGGCUGCGCCGGCGCUCCCCGCGCCACCUCGUCAAGACCACGCACCGCCCACGGUGGCGCAGCGCGAGCCGCGUCAAGACCAAGCUCCACUCCUGAAGCGGGCCUCGGCAACCACAGCCGGCUGCCGCGCCUUCACCCCCGAGUUGCGUAGCGUCGCUUGGCCAGGCAAGUUCAAGCCAAACCUGCCUCCUCGCUACGACGACACCGUGGACCCUGCGGAGUUCCUGCAGCUCUACGAGCUGAGCAUCGAAGCAGCCAACGGCGACGAAAAAGUCAUGGCGAACUGGUUUCCCAUGGCUCUCAAGGACGGGGCCCGCUCUUGGCUCCUGAACCUGCAGCACGGGUGGAUCCCCUCCUGGGACGAGAUGCGCAACCGCUUCGUCGCCAACUUCCAGGGCACUCGCGACCGUCCUCCGGCCGCGGGUGACCUGCGCCGCAACAAGCAACAGCCAGGAGAAACCCUCCAAAAGUACAUCCAGCGCUUCAACAACACCCGCCUCAAGAUCCCCAAGGUCACCGACGAAGCCAUCAUCUUCGCGUUCUCCGACGGCAUCCGCGACGUUGAUCGAUUGAAAGUGCAGCGGGAUAUUUACGCCCCAAACUACGGAUGUCGUAUUCUCCUUAGGGACUAGGCGACAACAGUCGUGCUCGGCUAAAGCCAGAUCAGACGAAAAGGUUUUUGAUAUUGCAAGACAAACGAAAAUAAAGCAAGUUUGUUCCAGAAAAUCAUUGACAAAUAAGAUGUACUCACUAUAUUUUUGGUAUUUUUAUUUGUUUUACUUUGGGAACUAAAAUACUAGCACAUGCUAACAUGAGAAACAAGGAAAACUACAAGACAGCAACACAUAUAUGUUCAGCAACUAGUAUGAAAGAAAAGAAUUAAGAUCAAGGGACAAGAACAGAAGUACUUCACAUCACAAGCAUAUAUAUACUCACACGUACAUAGCUAACACAGGGACUAAGAAUUAAAGAUGUUCAAACUACUCACUUGACAGAGAGCACAAACAACACAAAAAUAGACAAGUAAGCUAGGUUCUUACAAAUGACUAGUUGAUAAACAGAGCACAUAUAUUGAACAGUACUACUAGACAAAUCUGAACAACACAUGCCAUACAAAUCUCAAUUCUAAACAUUACAAAAUACUAAACAUUAUACUACUCAAGAUUACAGAAAUUUGAGAGAGAGAAACAACAGCAGCAAGUUAGGGAAGUUGAGCGGAGGAGGAGCAGCGAAGGGGUUCAGAGAGAAAGAGAGAGACAGCAGGGGCGGCAGUAAGUUCAGAGAAGGAGCAGCAGCAGUAGGUUCAGAGAAAGAGUAGCAGUAGGUUCAGAGAAGGAGCGGCAAUAAGGUUUGGGAAGAAGAGGCAGCAGGGGAAAGGAGUAGUAGAAGCAGCGUGGAGGCGCAGGGGAGAAGAGAGCAACAACAGUUUGAGGCGAGGGAAGAAGAGAAGCAGCAGUAGGUUCAGAGAAGGCUUCAACAGAGGCGCAACAUGUAGUUUGGAGAUGGAGAAGGAGUUCGGGUUCAGGGAGCAACAACAGAGGUGAGGAAGAAGAGGGUAGCAGUAGGAGGACUGGAGGAUGGUGUGGUGGCGCUGGAUAUGGUGAUGGAUGGUGUGUGGCGGCGGUGCUGGAGAUGGUGAUGGAUGGCGCGGUGGUUCGAGGUGGUGAUGCGGCGCUGGUAGUGGCGGGUGGUGGAGAUGGAGUGGAUGAUGGAGUGGUGGCUGGAUGGACGGCGCUGGGCGCUGGUGGCGCACCUACCACGCCGGCCUGGCCAUGGCGGCGGCCAGAGGUGGAGAAGAAGGGUAAGGGAAAGAGAGAGAUGCCAGGCCCGAUUUGGGGAUUGAGAGCGCUAGGGAUUUGAUCCCCUUAAUCAGAUCUUCCCCUUUGCAAUCUGGCCCCUCUCCUUUUCUUCCUUCUGCACAAGUUGGUCCUCCUCUUAUUUAGGCAAACCCUUCAAGCUUUAGUGUUCAUCACACUUGGGUCCCUCCAUCUUUCUGUCCUGCCCUUGUCUCUUCUCAUCAGCCCCAUAGUCCAAAUUUUGAAGUUUAUAGGCCUUUUCGCCCUAUUCUGCAAAAUAAACAAAUUACUAGUCACGAGCUCUUUCGUGAAUAUCAUUUGAAUAUUCGAUAAUUCUAAGCAAGGAUAGAUUGACAUAUCUCAAUAAAUGGUGUAUAUGUGUGCCCAAAUCGUAUAUAUGAAAUGUGCUUAUCAAGUACCCCCACACUUAAAUCUUUGCUUGUCCUCAAGCAAAGGCAUUUGACAAGAGCAAGGUAGUGAUCAGCGAACUGACUAGAGAAUGUCCCAGUGAAGUAGAUCUCCAAACAAUGCAUGCUUUGAACUUUUGCUAGUGAAAAUCAAUGGUUAAGAGUGCUACAAAGCAGUAUGAUACUAGUAAGCAUGACCAUUUUUAACUUUUACAAUGAUAAAAGAGGAUCAACAAGUUUAAAUGAUGACUGUGCCAAAUGGUUCCUAAAGAGAGCAUGAUCUCGAGAACAAAAUGAACUGGAAUUAAAUCUUGUGAUCAAUCGAUCAUUUUGGCGCCUAUCACGCGGGUGACCUGAGUUCGAUCCCCGGCAACGGCGCCAAAAUGAUCGAUUGAAAGUGCAGCGGGAUAUUUACGCCCCAAACUACGGAUGUCGUAUUCUCCUCAGGGACUAGGCAACGACAGUCGUGCUCGGCCAAAGCUAGAUCUGACGAAAAGGUUUUUGAUAUUGCAAAACAAACGAAAAUAAAGCAAGUUUGUUCCAGAAAAUCAUUGACAAAUAAGAUGUACUCACUAUAUUUUUGGUAUUUUUAUUUGUUUUACUUUGGUAACUAAAAUACUAGCACAUGCUAACAUGAGAAACAAGGAAAACUGCUAGACAGCAACACAUAUAUGUUCAGCAACUAGUAUGAAAGAAAAGAAUUAAUAUCAAGGGACAAGAACAGAAGUACUUCACAUCACAAGCAUAUAUAUACUCACACGUACAUAGCUAACACAUGGACUAAGAAUUAAAGAUGUUCAAACUACUCACUUGACAGAGAGCACAAACAACACAAAAAUAGACAAGUAAGCUAGGUUCUUACAAAUGACUAGUUGAUAAACAGAGCACAUAUAUUGAACAGUACUACUAGACAAAUCUGAACAACACAUGCCAUACAAAUCUCAAUUCUAAACAUUACAAAAUACUAAACAUUAUACUACUCAAGAUUACAGAAAUUUGAGAGAGAGAGAAACAGCAGCGGCAAGUUAGGGAAGUUGAGCGAAGGACUAGCAGCGAAGGGGUUCAGAGAGAAAGUGAGAGACAGCAGGGGCAGCAGUAAGUUCAGAGAAGGAGCAGCAGCAGUAGGUUCAGAGAAAGAGUAGCAGUAGGUUCAGAGAAGGAGCGGCAGCAUGGUUUGGGAAGAAGAGGCAGUAGGGUAAAGGAGUAGUAGAAGCAGCGUGGAGGCGCAGAGGAGAAGAGAGCAACAGCAGUUUGAGGCGAGGGAAGAAGAGAAGCAGCAGUAGGUUCAGAGAAGGCUUCAGCAGAGGCGCAGCAUGCAGUUUGGAGAUGGAGAAGGAGUUCGGGUUCAGGGGAGCAACAACGGAGGUGAGGAAGAAGAGGGUAGCAGUAGGAGGACUGGAGGAUGGUGUGGUGGCGUUGGAUAUGGUGAUGGAUGGUGUGCGGUGGCGGUGCUGGAUGGCGCGGUGGUUCGAGGUGGUGAUGCGGCGCUGGCAGCGACGGUUGGUGGAGAUGGAGUGGAUGAUGGAGUGGUGGCUGGAUGGAUGGCGCUGGUUGCUGGUGGUGCACCUACCAUGCCAGCCUGGCCAUGGCGGCGGCCGGAGGUGGAGAAGGAGGGUAAGGGAAAGAGAGAGAGAUGCCAGACCCGAUUUGGGGAUUGAGAGCGCUAGGGAUUUGAUCCCCUCGAUCAGAUCUUCCCCUUUGCAAUCUGGCCCCUCUCCUUUUCUUCCUUCUGCACAAGUUGGUCCUCCUCUUAUUUAGGCAAACCCUUCAAGCUUUAGUGUACAUCACACUUGGGUCCCUCCAUCUUUCUGUCGUGCCCUUGUCUCUUCUCAUUAGCCCCAUAGUCCAAAUCUUGAAGUUUAUAGGCCUUUUCGCCUUAUUCUGCAAAAUAAACAAAUUACUAGUCACAUGCUCUUUCGUGAAUAUCAUUUGAAUAUUCGAUAAUUCUAAGAAAGAAUAGAUUAACAUAUCUCAAUAAAUGGUGCAUAUGUGUGCCCAAAUCGUAUAUAUGAAAUGUGCUUAUCAAGUACCCCCACACUUAAAUC